Canis lupus familiaris (dog) is the source of this 1499-nucleotide long non-coding RNA. RefSeq lists it as uncharacterized. Lineage: Eukaryota; Metazoa; Chordata; Mammalia; Carnivora; Canidae. The record is from RefSeq and is a predicted model, not a curated record. The transcript is spliced from 9 exons.
GGCAACGGUGGACAACAGAACAGCAGCACACCAAAUGUUCCUUUGACAAGAAGCAUGGAGAGAAAUUAAAAAGUAGAAGCUAUGAGAAAAAGAGGGGCACCUGCGUGGCUCAUUGGGAGAUUAAACAUACAGGCAAAGAAAGAUAGAAAUAUAAAGGAGUUGGUAAAACUGGAGUCAGAAAGAAAGAAAUCAGCAAGAGAGUCCAUCAGAGAGAGAUUGAAGAGUCGGAAUGAUCCAAAAUUUGAGCUUGAUCAACAUCAAAAUUAAUCCCCAGGUUUCAGGCCUGCGGCGUAGUACAGUGAAGUCUGAUUGGACGUAGAAGAGGAGGAAGGGUGGCCUCAAGGUUGGAGAGGAGUGAUGAUGAAAGAAGGGAAGGCUCAGCUUCCGCACGCUGAGCUUGAGUUACCUGCGGUCAACCCCAGUCCUGGAGCACAAGGGCUCCUGCAGCCACCAACAGCCACCUGCCAGCACCGUCCACCUCACUUCAUCUCACCACCUAGGCCUCCUGUCAUCUCACAGCAUCACAGAAAGGAGGCCAUAAGGGUGAGGCAUAGGCAGUGGGGACACAGGAAGUUUGAAACAAGUUAUACACAUAAAGAUUUUGACUCCAUUCUGAAGACAAAGAUGACCCACAGAAAGAGGGAAGGCAAGAGAAGGUAUCAUAAUCAGGUCGGAAGUCAGUGGCAGUAAUUUGAGAUGUGUACUUUCAAGCUAUUUUCAAGACUACCCACAAUUUUCCGAAUAUGAGCACAAAACCAUCCUGAUUGGCAUUAGCUUUAUGUCACAGAAUAAUCAUAUAUCCAGCUCUGCUUACCAGCUAUUGUGUCUACUUCAUGCAGCAGUGAAGACCAACAAAAGACAGUUGCCAACAAGUGAUUUCUGAAAUAUACUACAGAAGGAAGAAGAGAUCAUUAUCUCUGAAAACACUUUAAUCAAUAGCCACGAAAUAAUUGGUUUGUCUAAGGCACAUCCUCGUUAUUAAGUAUUCCAAUAUAUGGCUGAUUGAGUGUCAAAAAAAAGUGAGGAAGUGCAAUAUGGACGAUGGAAACUAAGAGAAAAUACAUCAGCAAGGGAAACAAAAGGAAAAACAGACUGUCGGGACUACUUCAAAAUGAAGAGCUUCUAUAAGCAAAGGAAACAACCAGCAAAACUAAAAGACGAUCUACUAAAUGGGAGAAGAUACUUGCGGAUGACAUCUCUGCUAAAGCGUGUACAAUGAAAUCAUUCGACCUUUCUUUACAUCACUCAGUGCUCAAGACAAAUGGACUCAAGCACCUUUAUCUAUUUCACAUCCCCACCCCCACCUACUUCCAGUUUGUCUUCGGUAUUUAAGAGUUUGUGGGUGUUGUUUGUCUUUUUUUGUUUGUUUGUUUUGUUUGUUUCUCAAUUCCCCAUAUGUGUGAUGUCAUAUGGUAUUGUCUUUCUCUGUUGGACUUAAGAAUGGACUCAUACUAUGGUGGCAGGAUAAAUUAGGGAAUCAUUUAAACAGGGAAAUUCAC